Molecule: non-coding RNA, 747 nt
Filed under: Emeia pseudosauteri
Lineage: Eukaryota; Metazoa; Arthropoda; Insecta; Coleoptera; Lampyridae
Source: RNAcentral
UUAAAGUUUAAUUUUGGCUUUAUUAUUUAAUUUAAAGUUGAUUUACAUGUAAAAUUUUAUUUAAAAAGUUUUUUUUCAGUAUUUAAUAUUGAAAAUUUAUUAAUAUAUGUUUCAGUAAAUUUUAAUAAAUCUAAUAAAAUUUGUGCCAGCAAUUGCGGUUAUACAAAUAGAUUAAUUAAAUAUCUUUGAUUUUAAAUUUUAAUUUAAUUAGAAUUUAAUAUUUAAAUUUUUAGGUGAAAUUUAAAUUUAAAUAUUAAUCUUAAUAUUAAUUUUAAAUUUAUUAAAAUUGAAAUAUAAACUAGGAUUAGAUACCCUAUUAUAUUAAUUGUAAAAUAUAUAAUCAGAUUAGUAUUUGUUGUUCAUGAAAAUUAAAAAAUUUGGCGGUAUUUUAGUCAGUUCAGAGGAACCUGUUCUAUAAUUGACACUCCACAAUAAGUUCCACUUUUAUUAAUUUAGCUUGUAUAUCGUUGUUUAGAGUUUUUUUUAAGAAUUGGAAUUUUCAAGGUUUAUAAUGAUAAAUUAUUUCAAAUCAAGGUGCAGUUUAUAUAAAAGUAGAAAUGGGUUACAAUAAUAGUAUUUUUGGAAAAUAAUUUUAAAUUGUUAUUUGAAAUUGGAUUUGAUAGUAAUAUAAAAAAUUUAUUUAAUAUGAUAAAUGCUCUAAAAUAUGUACAUAUUGCCCGUCACUCUCAUUUAAAUUGAGAUAAGUCGUAACAUAGUAGAUGUACUGGAAAGUGUAUCUAGAAUUAU